This 1269-nucleotide ribosomal RNA is filed under the name Acinetobacter sp. P4548. RNAcentral describes it as "bacterial SSU rRNA". It matches the Rfam family "Bacterial small subunit ribosomal RNA", at positions 85 to 1337 of the family's 1533-position model. The record is from RNAcentral. Lineage: Bacteria; Pseudomonadati; Pseudomonadota; Gammaproteobacteria; Moraxellales; Moraxellaceae.
CUAUCACUUAGCGGCGGACGGGUGAGUAAUGCUUAGGAAUCUGCCUAUUAGUGGGGGACAACAUCUCGAAAGGGAUGCUAAUACCGCAUACGUCCUACGGGAGAAAGCAGGGGAUCACUUGUGACCUUGGCGCUAUAUAGAUGAGCCUAAGUCGGAUUAGCUAGUUGGUGGGGUAAAGGCCUAGCCAAGGCGACGAUCUGUAGCGGGUUCUGAGCAGGAUGAUCCGCCACACUGGGACUGAGACACGGCCCAGACUCCUACGGGAGGCAGCAGUGGGGAAUACUGGACAAUGGGGGGAACCCUGAUCCAGCCAUGCCGCGUGUGUGAAGAAGGCCUUAUGGUUGUAAAGCACUUUAAGCGAGGAGGAGGCUCUUUUGGUUAAUACCCAAGAUGAGUGGACGUUACUCGCAGAAUAAGCACCGGCUAACUCUGUGCCAGCAGCCGCGGUAAUACAGAGGGUGCAAGCGUUAAUCGGAUUUACUGGGCGUAAAGCGCGCGUAGGCGGCCAAUUAAGUCAAAUGUGAAAUCCCCGAGCUUAACUUGGGAAUUGCAUUCGAUACUGGUUGGCUAGAGUGUGGGAGAGGAUGGUAGAAUUCCAGGUGUAGCGGUGAAAUGCGUAGAGAUCUGGAGGAAUACCGAUGGCGAAGGCAGCCAUCUGGCCUAACACUGACGCUGAGGUGCGAAAGCAUGGGGAGCAAACAGGAUUAGAUACCCUGGUAGUCCAUGCCGUAAACGAUGUCUACUAGCCGUUGGGGCCUUUGAGGCUUUAGUGGCGCAGCUAACGCGAUAAGUAGACCGCCUGGGGAGUACGGUCGCAAGACUAAAACUCAAAUGAAUUGACGGGGGCCCGCACAAGCGGUGGAGCAUGUGGUUUAAUUCGAUGCAACGCGAAGAACCUUACCUGGGCCUUGACAUAGUAGAAACUUUCCAGAGAUGGAUUGGUGCCUUCGGGAAUCUACAUACAGGUGCUGCAUGGCUGUCGUCAGCUCGUGUCGUGAGAUGUUGGGUUAAGUCCCGCAACGAGCGCAACCCUUUUCCUUACUUGCCAGCAUUUCGGAUGGGAACUUUAAGGAUACUGCCAGUGACAAACUGGAGGAAGGCGGGGACGACGUCAAGUCAUUCAUGGCCCUUACGGCCAGGGCUACACACGUGCUACAAUGGUCGGUACAAAGGGUUGCUUACUCUAGCGAUAGGAGGUCUAAUCUCAAAAAGCCGACUCGUACUCCGGAUUGAAGUCUGCAACUCGACUCCAUGAAGUCGGAAUCGCUA